GAUGAACGCUGGCGGCGUGCCUAACACAUGCAGGUCGAACGGAGUCCAGCCUUUAAGACCUUCGGGUCAAAGAGGGGAAGACUGAGUGGCGGACGGGUGAGUAACACGUGGGCAACCUGGCUCAUAGAGGGGGAUAACAGAGAGAAAUUUCUGCUAAUACCGCAUAAGCACACACUGCCGCAUGGCAGAGGGUGAAAAGAGAAUCGCUAUGAGAUGGACCCGCGUCUGAUUAGCCAGUUGGCAGGGUAAGAGCCUACCAAAGCGACGAUCAGUAGCCGAUCUGAGAGGAUGAACGGACACAUUGGGACUGAGACACGGCCCAAACUCCUACGGGAGGCAGCAGUGGGGGAUAUUGCACAAUGGGGGGAACCCUGAUGCAGCGACGCCGCGUGAGUGAAGAAGUAUUUCGGUAUGUAAAGCUCUAUCAGCAGGGAAGAUAAUGACAGUACCUGAAUAAGAAGCCCCGGCUAACUACGUG
This 478-nucleotide ribosomal RNA is filed under the name uncultured bacterium. RNAcentral describes it as "partial 16S ribosomal RNA". It matches the Rfam family "Bacterial small subunit ribosomal RNA", at positions 28 to 507 of the family's 1533-position model. The record is from RNAcentral.